CACGUGCUACAAUGGCGCAUACAAAGAGAAGCGACCUCGCGAGAGCAAGCGGACCUCAUAAAGUGCGUCGUAGUCCGGAUUGGAGUCUGCAACUCGACUCCAUGAAGUCGGAAUCGCUAGUAAUCGUGGAUCAGAAUGCCACGGUGAAUACGUUCCCGGGCCUUGUACACACCGCCCGUCACACCAUGGGAGUGGGUUGCAAAAGAAGUAGGUAGCUUAACCUUCGGGAGGGCGCUUACCACUUUGUGAUUCAUGACUGGGGUGAAGUCGUAACAAGGUAACCGUAGGGGAACCUGC
This 297-nucleotide ribosomal RNA is filed under the name Salmonella enterica subsp. enterica serovar Oranienburg. Its description in RNAcentral is "partial 16S ribosomal RNA". It matches the Rfam family "Bacterial small subunit ribosomal RNA", at positions 1219 to 1515 of the family's 1533-position model. The record is from RNAcentral. Lineage: Bacteria; Pseudomonadati; Pseudomonadota; Gammaproteobacteria; Enterobacterales; Enterobacteriaceae. RNAcentral also lists the same sequence under 4 other names.